UCACCUAUCUAUGUUCUCCAGAGAUGCUGCCUGACCCGCAAGCCACCGCAGCACCCUGUGUGCAUCCCCGCUGAUGACCGGCGCUCAGCCCCCGCCGGCACCGAGGGGGCCAGCCGAUAGCCACUGGACAAGGAGAGAGGCGCA
Molecule: long non-coding RNA, 144 nt
Organism: Amblyraja radiata (thorny skate)
Lineage: Eukaryota; Metazoa; Chordata; Chondrichthyes; Rajiformes; Rajidae
Exons: 3
Source: RefSeq, a predicted model, not a curated record